UACGUAGGGUGCGAGCGUUAAUCGGAAUUACUGGGCGUAAAGCGUGCGCAGGCGGAUUAUUAAGCAAGACGUGAAAGCCCCGGGCUUAACCUGGGAAUGGCGUUUUGAACUGGUAGUCUAGAGUGUGUCAGAGGGGGGUGGAAUUCCACGUGUAGCAGUGAAAUGCGUAGAUAUGUGGAGGAACACCAAUGGCGAAGGCAGCCCCCUGGGAUAACACUGACGCUCAUGUACGAAAGCGUGGGUAGCAAACAGG
Molecule: ribosomal RNA, 253 nt
Filed under: uncultured bacterium
Lineage: Bacteria
Description: partial 16S ribosomal RNA
Rfam family: Bacterial small subunit ribosomal RNA
Source: RNAcentral